GACGAACGCUGGCGGCGUGCCUAAUACAUGCAAGUAGAACGCUGAAGCGAGGAGCUUGCUCUUCUUGGAUGAGUUGCGAACGGGUGAGUAACGCGUAGGUAACCUGCCUUGUAGCGGGGGAUAACUAUUGGAAACGAUAGCUAAUACCGCAUAACAAUGGAUGACACAUGUCAUUUAUUUGAAAGGGGCAAUUGCUCCACUACAAGAUGGACCUGCGUUGUAUUAGCUAGUAGGUGAGGUAAUGGCUCACCUAGGCGACGAUACAUAGCCGACCUGAGAGGGUGAUCGGCCACACUGGGACUGAGACACGGCCCAGACUCCUACGGGAGGCAGCAGUAGGGAAUCUUCGGCAAUGGGGGCAACCCUGACCGAGCAACGCCGCGUGAGUGAAGAAGGUUUUCGGAUCGUAAAGCUCUGUUGUACGUCAAGAACGGGUGUGAGAGUGGAAAGUUCACACUGUGACGGUAGCUUACCAGAAAGGGACGGCUAACUACGUG
RNAcentral lists this ribosomal RNA (497 nucleotides) under uncultured bacterium. RNAcentral describes it as "partial 16S ribosomal RNA". It matches the Rfam family "Bacterial small subunit ribosomal RNA", at positions 28 to 507 of the family's 1533-position model. The record is from RNAcentral.